This 77-nucleotide transfer RNA is filed under the name Bradyrhizobium sp. BR13661. RNAcentral's name for it is "tRNA-Leu". It matches the Rfam family "tRNA". From Rfam's summary of the family: Transfer RNA (tRNA) molecules are approximately 80 nucleotides in length. Their secondary structure includes four short double-helical elements and three loops (D, anti-codon, and T loops). Lineage: Bacteria; Pseudomonadati; Pseudomonadota; Alphaproteobacteria; Hyphomicrobiales; Nitrobacteraceae. The record is from RNAcentral.
GCCUGAGUAGCCCAACGGCAGAGGCCGCUUGCUCAAAACAAGUUCAGGUGCAGGUUCAACUCCUGCCUCAGGCACCA